GCAAACUUGGUCAUUUAGAGGAAGUAAAAGUCGUAACAAGGUUUUCGUAGGUGAACCUGCGGAAGGAUCAUUACUGAGGGAAACAAACGAGGGGCGCCAUCGAGCCUGAGGACAACACGCAUCUCGGUGCGUGACCCCUGGGCGUGCUGCCUGCCUAGAGUACCCGGAGCGUAGCCCCGGGAUUCAGGCACGGCGUAAGCCCCUCCAUCCACCCGUGUUUACCGUACCUCUGUUGCUUUGGCGGGCCGGCUUGAGCCUCUCUGCGAAGGGGGGAAGGCCGCCACGGCGUUCACUCGCCAGGGUCAGUGCCCGCCAGGGAAGUUACCUGAACCAGUGAGAAUAAUGAGGACUGUCUGAGUGGGAUUGAAAUAACUUAAAACUUUCAACAAUGGAUCUCUUGGUUCCGGCAUCGAUGAAGAACGCAGC
RNAcentral lists this unclassified non-coding RNA (426 nucleotides) under uncultured fungus. Its description in RNAcentral is "partial contains small subunit ribosomal RNA, internal transcribed spacer 1, and 5.8S ribosomal RNA". The stretch from base 1 to 73 matches the Rfam family "Eukaryotic small subunit ribosomal RNA", at positions 1759 to 1831 of the family's 1831-position model. Lineage: Eukaryota; Fungi. The record is from RNAcentral.